Molecule: long non-coding RNA, 834 nt
Organism: Aedes albopictus (Asian tiger mosquito)
Lineage: Eukaryota; Metazoa; Arthropoda; Insecta; Diptera; Culicidae
Exons: 2
Source: RefSeq, a predicted model, not a curated record
GGUUGUUUAGUGAAUAAAAUAUUGCUGUUUUCUAUAGCCUAAUCGAAAGAGCUCAUUUUUCUGAGUAUAACGUGAUUUUAUUGGAUUCCAACACCUUUGUUUUGAUGGUUAAAUCAACAAAACAAUGUUAAUUUUCGUGGAUAGAAUGACAGUUCAAUCGUUAAAGUGACAGUUCGACCCGAACAAAAAAUUUUCCCCAUACAAACUUUAAAUGCAUUUUAAAAAUAGUUCCCGGACUCCAAAAAUUAUGAAAUUUUGGAUUUCGACUAAUUUUUGGGCGGAGAAUCCGAUUAUGAAAUAAUCCGGAUACCCCUAAAGAACCCAAUUAUUCCCCUGAUUAUUCCUGGGACAUCACAGCCCGCACUGGAAAUACGGAAUCUUGAAGGUUAGAGAAAUCGUCAGCGGUUCUUCCGGAAGACGAUGAGAAGGAACAGGGCAAACGUGUCGAUCCGGUCGAACGAGGACCGGGCAAGAAGGAGAAGCUUGAAACUGACAGUGUGGACGAGUUGGAGGACGAUGCGGAUCCGGGCGAAAAGGCCCCAGAAUAGAGGAGAAAGAGAACGGGUUUAACCGGUAGUGAAACUUCUCGAUGUAGGUAACUUGCAGCUGGUUGAAGAGGCGAUGAUGUGCCAAGACACGAAGUGGCCAAGAAGAGCCACCUCAAGGAGUGCUGCAGAUUGCAUCCGAUCCGAAAAUCAACAGUGCGCCAUCCGCGACCAAAUGCAGAACGCUAUCGGGGCGAACAUUUGCGCAAAAAAUCGUUAAAUUUAGUGAUUUACCACAAUUUUUUUUAUUAAACACAUUUGCUCAAAAUAAACUGAUAUCUAAUGACAA